AAAAGUGAAAGACGGUCUUGCUGUCACUUAUAGAUGGAUCCGCGCUGCAUUAGCUAGUUGGUAAGGUAACGGCUUACCAAGGCAACGAUGCAUAGCCGACCUGAGAGGGUGAUCGGCCACACUGGAACUGAGACACGGUCCAGACUCCUACGGGAGGCAGCAGUAGGGAAUCUUCCGCAAUGGGCGAAAGCCUGACGGAGCAACGCCGCGUGAGUGAUGAAGGUCUUCGGAUCGUAAAACUCUGUUAUUAGGGAAGAACAUAUGUGUAAGUAACUGUGCACAUCUUGACGGUACCUAAUCAGAAAGCCACGGCUAACUACGUGCCAGCAGCCGCGGUAAUACGUAGGUGGCAAGCGUUAUCCGGAAUUAUUGGGCGUAAAGCGCGCGUAGGCGGUUUUUUAAGUCUGAUGUGAAAGCCCACGGCUCAACCGUGGAGGGUCAUUGGAAACUGGAAAACUUGAGUGCAGAAGAGGAAAGUGGAAUUCCAUGUGUAGCGGUGAAAUGCGCAGAGAUAUGGAGGAACACCAGUGGCGAAGGCGACUUUCUGGUCUGUAACUGACGCUGAUGUGCGAAAGCGUGGGG
Molecule: ribosomal RNA, 582 nt
Filed under: Staphylococcus aureus
Lineage: Bacteria; Bacillati; Bacillota; Bacilli; Caryophanales; Staphylococcaceae
Description: bacterial SSU rRNA
Rfam family: Bacterial small subunit ribosomal RNA
Source: RNAcentral